This 76-nucleotide transfer RNA is filed under the name Gammaproteobacteria bacterium. Its description in RNAcentral is "tRNA-Ile". It matches the Rfam family "tRNA". From Rfam's summary of the family: Transfer RNA (tRNA) molecules are approximately 80 nucleotides in length. Their secondary structure includes four short double-helical elements and three loops (D, anti-codon, and T loops). The record is from RNAcentral. Lineage: Bacteria; Pseudomonadati; Pseudomonadota; Gammaproteobacteria.
GGGCCUGUAGCUCAGUGGUUAGAGCAGCGGACUCAUAAUCCGUUGGUCCACAGUUCAAGUCUGUGCAGGCCCACCA